ACACCCAAAUAAAUGACAUCACUAUUUAGCCCUCAUAUGUUGAAACAAUCAAUCAAAUCUCAAUCGCAAAUUCACAAUUUCCAGUCGUCCAUCGUAGCAUCCGAAAUCUUCAGCCCCUUAAUUUUCGCUGCCCACUGAAGAAAAAAUUCACCAUUACAGGUUUGAUAUUAUGUCUAUGAAUUGGGUUCAGCGCAAAAUCUACCUUUACAAUGUCACUUUUGGACUAUACAUGUUGGACGCAUGGGAGCGUUAUCUGUUCAAUGCUUUGGUUCUUGUCUUGAUGUGGUUCAUAUUCUACAACGGGUACCGGAACCUUAAUGAACUCUGCAAAAGGUAUAUAUGGUGAAGUUUAAGCCAAGAAUUGACUUGAAGAAGAACAAGAAUUUGAAGUCUAUUGCAUCUUUUGUUUAUUCAUAUAAUCAGACCAAGAAAUAUGUUCUGAGUAAGAACACCACAGUCGAAUCCAUGAGUGUCUGGUUGUUGUAGCUUGCAGUGUAUGUACAUUUUUCCGUCUUGUUUUUAAAGUUUUUAAUUCAUUGUUGGGUGAGUUAGUAACAAUAUUUGUUUCAAUAUUCUCUCUUUUUAAGGGAAAAUUAUGAAAUGGCCAUUUUGACCAAUGUUUGUACGUAAAUAGCCAUUUUGACCGACCUUUUAAAGCCAAAACCGCACCGUUUGGGCUAUGUAAGUUCAUGUUGCAUCUUUUGAUUGAGUUAUACUUUCAUGUAAUCAAUUGUAUGAUUGGUUAUAUUUUUAAAAAGUUGGCCAAAAUGACAAGUUAAGUUA
RNAcentral lists this long non-coding RNA (783 nucleotides) under Helianthus annuus (common sunflower). The record is from RNAcentral. Lineage: Eukaryota; Viridiplantae; Streptophyta; Magnoliopsida; Asterales; Asteraceae.